CCCUUAGAUGUUCUGGGCUGCACACGUGCUACACUGGCAGGUUCAGCGAGCUUCAUGCCCUGGUCUGAAAGGAAUGGGAAAUCUUUUCAAAACCUGCCGUGCUUGGGAUAGAUGUUUGCAAUUAUUCAUCUUCAACGAGGAUUGCCUUGUAAGCGCACGCCAUCAGCGUGCAUUGAAUACGACCCUGUAUUCUGUACACACCGCCCGUCGCUCCUACCGAUUGGGUGUGCUGGUGAAAUGUUCGGAUCGGCCGUUUGUCGCGGUUUCCGCGUCAUGUGGCUGAGAAGUUCAUUAAACCCUCCCACCUAGAGGAAGGAGAAGUCGUAACA
This 329-nucleotide ribosomal RNA is filed under the name uncultured eukaryote. Its description in RNAcentral is "partial 18S ribosomal RNA". It matches the Rfam family "Eukaryotic small subunit ribosomal RNA", at positions 1470 to 1796 of the family's 1831-position model. The record is from RNAcentral.